GGCUCAGUGGUUUAAGGGUAUGAUUUAUACUUCGGGUGCAGGAGGUCCCGUGUUCCAAUCCCGGCUGGGCCC
Non-coding RNA from Dryococelus australis, 72 nucleotides. NCBI's taxonomy places the organism in Eukaryota, Metazoa, Arthropoda, Insecta, Phasmatodea, Phasmatidae. The record is from the annotation of a GenBank genome assembly.